Long non-coding RNA from Herpailurus yagouaroundi (jaguarundi), 1816 nucleotides. RefSeq lists it as uncharacterized. The transcript is spliced from 3 exons. Lineage: Eukaryota; Metazoa; Chordata; Mammalia; Carnivora; Felidae. The record is from RefSeq and is a predicted model, not a curated record.
ACAGAGCCCGACGUGGGGCUCGAGCCCACGAGCCGUGAGCUCAUGACCUGAGCUGAAGUCGGCUGCUUAACUGACUGAGCCCCCCCCAGGUGUCCCUGCACAGAUUCUGUUUCACCAGAGACCCUCACCCACUCUGUGGCCCCACGUCUCAGGGAAAACAGAUGGAGAUGGAGGUGAUGUUGUUUUCUUACGUGGAAAGCACAGGAAGCAGCAUCGGGGCGCUGGCCGCUGCCCUGCUGCCCCGCCCCCGCCCCCUAGGGAGCUUGGCCCCUGCGGUUAAGGCCCGGCCAGGGGUCGGGGCGCUGGGGCUCGGCCGCCGUCAACCCACCCGGCCCGUCGCUUUUCCCGUCUUGGCUCUCGGCGGGACCCUGCAGUGCAGGUGGCUUGGCCAGGUCGCUGACAGUUAACCAGAGGCAUGGGUUUCCCUCGCUUCAACGGAUUAUGGAUUUGUACCGAGGAGUUGAAGUUCAGCACACAUUUCCUCUCAAUAGCGCCCCCCACGGGUGCGACACUGAAGGCGUGUCUGCAGCAACAGAGCUCGAACCGCGUCUCGCCUGCAGACGAGGGGUCUCAGGAUGAUCUCAAGAAAUUCAUGGUCGUUUACAAAGCUUUGCCCAGGGAUGAGAGCAAACCAGCUUCCAAACAAAACGCCAAAAAGCAAAUACCGUGAAGCUUUCCAUAACGACGCUUCGCAAUGGCAUACGGCGUAUUUUUGUCCCAGGUGCUGCGACCAAAACACAGCCGUGUGGCUGAGGCUGCAGCCUGGUCCCACGGCCAGGAGGGAGGGCCCGGGCCACCGUGCCGGGGACAGAGAUGUUCUUUCACACGGCCGUCUCAGAGGGGUGCAAAGCCCGGAGACACGUGAUUUUGAAACUGCAGGGCACUUUUGUGUGCACCCCAGACGGCCUGAGCUCCCUGCCGGCCACCAGGAAAGAGGAAGCGGAACCCGGUGAUGCGGAAGUGUAAGGGCCGAGGACCUGGGGCCGGAUUCUCUUGUCCAGCGUGGCCUGAUUUUUGCUCUGGGAACAAGCACGUCAUGACCGCAGUGGUGAUGGAGGCUUGCCUCCCCUGGAACACAGGGUGCACGGCAGGACCCCGUUCCUAAGCAGCUGAGAGACGAGUGGGGCUCCCCUCGAUGCACGGAAGACGGGGUAGUGUGCAGGCUUGGGGAGGAGGGAAGCACUCGGCCUUCCCGCCGCACACGGGAGCUCUGCCCAGAUGGGAGCAACCAGGAAUCCAGCUCCCACGAGCCCCACGCCUGGGGGAAAGGGUGGGGCUUCUUUAUACACGGCGGGUGUAUUUGGAAGGACCUGGAAGAGGCCCACGGUUUCCACCUAGGGAGUGCUCACAGACCCUGAACGCCUUUGUCCUGGAACUGGACUCGGUCACACCCCCACUGGUGGGGGAGGAAAGCCCGAGGCAGACCCAGGGUCCCUCGCAAUGGUCCCACCUGCCGCCCCAGACGUCCCUGCACCACCAGCCGACAAGAUGGAUGCUCUGGAUGACAUGGGGGUGCAGAGGAAGAAAGAGGAAAUGAUGCGGAAAAGAGUCACAACAGAAUCCAAAAUGCACACCAAUGGCCCUGCUCAGUUGCUAGGAACGGGGUGGGCUCUGAGCUUCCUAGCAGUCAGAGCAAAGAGGAAAACUAGCUUCUGCCCAUUUCCCCAGAGCCUCCAGGAUGAUCCUCGGGGGCCUUGGGGUCUUGGCUCAUUGUGCUUAGGUCUGGGGUUUAAAAGAAGGAACAGGGUGGGGCGCCCGGGUGGCUCAGUCGGCUGAGCGUCUGACUUCGCCUCAGGUCGUGAUCUCACGGUUCGUG